Molecule: long non-coding RNA, 283 nt
Filed under: Apteryx rowi (Okarito brown kiwi)
Lineage: Eukaryota; Metazoa; Chordata; Aves; Apterygiformes; Apterygidae
Description: lncRNA (ENSARWG00000005287.1)
Source: RNAcentral
AGCUUUGACUGAAGCCAAAGACAAGGAGAAUCACCAUGGCAGCUGCCGCUCAGUUUUCAGCUCUGGAGUCAUGUUCAGUACUCUGUGCUGUUUCAUCUGUGAUGAUGUUGUUAUGUCCACGGCUCAUGAAAUAAGGCACAGACACGUCCCAACUGCUGUUAUUUCUGUGACUGUAAUGACUUGCUGUGUAUCUGCUCUGAUGGUCAGUUGUUUCUCCUGCUUCAUAAGAACUCAGGCCAUUUUAAAAAGCAUCUUUCAUUUGUCAUAUCGAUUUAAACUGAUA